Molecule: long non-coding RNA, 1757 nt
Filed under: Sinocyclocheilus grahami
Lineage: Eukaryota; Metazoa; Chordata; Actinopteri; Cypriniformes; Cyprinidae
Description: lncRNA (ENSSGRG00000052408.1)
Source: RNAcentral
CUGAAGUUGGAUGAGAUCCUGACAGAAUCCCCAGAAACUAAAGCACCUACUCAAAGGAGAUGUAGGAAGUUCACUUGCAUUCAACAGUUAUGUCAUAUAUUAAAACUGGUAUAUUCAUGUAGAUGAGAUGGUAAUAUCCUGUCUGAUCUCUCCAUGAAGGCAAGAUAAAGGUCAAGCCAAAACUAAAGCCAUGUGUGAAGGUUGGGCCUUCAAGAAAUGGCCAGUUUGACUGUGCACCCAGUCAGAAUAAACCAACAUCUCAAGCCACAGCACAAACUGAGAUUGAGUCCAACCAGAAACUAUCUGUGCAGGAAACAGUUGGUCCUGAAAGCCACUCAAGCCUUGAAGACAGUGAGAGGGAAGCCCAUCCUGGACCUGAUGACGUGAUAUCAACAGCCAUUGUGCCAGUGUCUGAAGAUAUGAGAGAUGAGAGUCACCCUGAAGUGGGAAUGUCCUCUCAGAACAGAACUCCAGAGGAAUGAGGACUCUGUUGUUGACCCUCCAGUGAGUCAGAGGCUGUUCUCUGUUGAAACAGACCAGUUUUUUUCUGUAUAAAUCAGUCAUUCACAUAAGUGUUUCUUCACAGGUGCACAGUACAUUCAUAAAGGAGUCUGAGGGGAACAACAAAGCUGCUUAUGAGGGUAUUUCACACAUAGUGUUGGGUGAUGCCUUUGUACACUCAUCAGAAGAAAUGAAGGAUGUUUUUAAUAAGGGAAAGGAAAGCCCUCAUGAUAGUGAGCUCCAAAUACCUGAGGGCUUAUCUGUAUGUCUUACAGAGAGUGCAAAAUCUCUUCCUUCAGUUAUUGACCAAGAGGAAACAAUGGCAGAUAUUUCUAAAAAGCCUGAUACUUGCAGAGAGGCAUCAUGUGUGUCAUCAUCUGCAUCUCAAGAGAAGACUAUACGCUUUAGGAGAGGCAAGUUGCAAGUGAAGCCAAAAAUCCCCAAAACGACAUCUACUGAAGACGAUUGUUCUAGACAGAAGCUAUCUGACUUUGGGUAUAAUGAUCCAGCCACAACUCAAAUAAUUUCACCAGAACCUCUGAUUAAAGAAGAAUCCAUUAAAGUGGAACAGAGAUCAGAGCAAGAAGAUUUCUCUGAUAUUCCAAAGGAGGAAUUAGACGGAGAGCCUGCUGGGAUUGCUUCAUCCUCACAACUUCAACCGCUUAUACCAUUCAGCACUGUAAAAUCAACAGCAUGAUAAGAAACAUCUAUUUUAAUAAAUAUCCUUCAAUCUGUGUACAAUUAUUAUAGGCAAUUUUUUUUUCAACUUACUGUCAUAACACUGAAUUGCAUCCGGUGGAACUGAAAAUAGAGGGUAGGCAUGAGGAUGCGUCACACGUGGUGUUGCCUGAUAUAUUGGUGCCGGUUUCCGCUGAAAUGGAAAACGGCGAUCAUGGAAGUUCUGUCCAAAGCAGUCUCCAAAUGGGUGAAGAGAGCCAGCAGAUUGUCUCUGCAGAAGCUGACCAGGAGAUGCAUUCGCAUGAGGGUGUUUCACACAUGCUGCUGACUGAUAUGUUGAUCCCCGUCUGUGAGAAAAUGGAAGAUGAUUUAAGCAAUGAAUGGACAAAAGCUGGAGAGAAAAGCCCUCAUGAGGAAGGAAGAUCUCAGUUUAGUUAGCUGAAUGGCAGAAUAAUGAGUAAGGAGUACUGGCAGAUAUAUAUAUAUAUUUUUGGUAUUGGUCAAUAUUGUAUAUUUAAAUGUAAAUUUUUAUUUCAAAUUGGCAAAACAUUUUAAUACCCAUAAUUAAUUAGAAUUUU